This 253-nucleotide ribosomal RNA is filed under the name uncultured bacterium. Its description in RNAcentral is "partial 16S ribosomal RNA". It matches the Rfam family "Bacterial small subunit ribosomal RNA", at positions 524 to 776 of the family's 1533-position model. The record is from RNAcentral.
UACAGAGGUCUCAAGCGUUGUUCGGAUUCAUUGGGCGUAAAGGGUGUGUAGGUGGCGCCGUAAGUCGGGUGUGAAAUUUCGGAGCUUAACUCCGAAACUGCAUUCGAUACUGCGGUGCUUGAGGACUGGAGAGGAGACUGGAAUUCAUGGUGUAGCAGUGAAAUGCGUAGAUAUCGGGAGGAACACCUGUGGCGAAAGCGGCUCACUGGACCACAACUGACGCUGAGGCGCGAAAGCUAGGGGAGCAAACAGG